AGAGGAAUAGCUGGGUCAAAUGGUGGUUCCAUUCCCAGUUUUCCAAGAAAUCUCCAUACUUUUUUCCAUAUUGGCUGCACCAAAUUGCAGCCCCACCAGCAAU
RNAcentral lists this microRNA precursor (103 nucleotides) under Marmota monax (woodchuck). Lineage: Eukaryota; Metazoa; Chordata; Mammalia; Rodentia; Sciuridae. The record is from RNAcentral.